This 812-nucleotide long non-coding RNA is filed under the name Mus spicilegus (steppe mouse). Its description in RNAcentral is "lncRNA (ENSMSIG00000028538.1)". Lineage: Eukaryota; Metazoa; Chordata; Mammalia; Rodentia; Muridae. The record is from RNAcentral.
CAAGAUUUUAGCAAGAGUCUGACAUGGAAUACUAGAGAGACUUUAAGGAAGCAAUUUUAGGGAGGUGACUGAGAGAAUUAAGGGAAAUAUGGGCAGUUAGUUUAGACCCAAGGAGCCCUGUGUGUGUGGUAGGGGGUGUGAAAUCUGUCAGAUCAAACCAGUCAAAAGCAUAAAGUCAAGAGUUGUAAUUAGAAUCUGUACCUACUUUUAGAGUCUAGACCUCACCCUUGUGACCUCCCACUUGGAAUGCAAAUGAAAAGGCAAGCAAAUCUGAGGUAUUUCCUGCUAAGCAGUGAUUGUCUAUGAGCAUGAGGUCUAAGAGGGGUGCAUCUGUCGGGGAGACUCCACUGCCAUUGCAGGCCUGACAGGCCUCACUGAAUAAAGCACUCAGAGGAGCCGAUAUCAAGACCUGCAUCCUGCCAGCCUAACUGUUAGGGUGGCUUCCACAAACAGAAAGGCCCAUCAACGGAGAACAGCAACCGUACUGGCUAAAGCUGCUUCAAUCACGCUUCAGAAUCAUUCACAGAGAUUUGCACUGUGGAGGUCAAAGGGAGCAAGCCGGGCCAGGCCCCACCUCAGCACCAGCCAAAGUUGCUGUCAGCACCAGAUGGAGGAAUCGUCAGCCCAGCCAGGUAAGAGGCCAAGGGAAACCUCUGCCUCGUCUGAAAUACUUUGCAUUUUUCCUCCUCUUUUUGCAGAUGAGCAAUGGUGAGAGAUGAGUUCUGCUUUCUGAAUGUGACUUUGUGGUCCAUAGUGUAAGUGUGCAUUAUGCAGAUGUUCUAAAUGCAUCAACACAAUUCUCCAGAAAGCCC